GACGAACGCUGGCGGCGUGCCUAAUACAUGCAAGUCGAGCGGAGUUAGAGAAGCUUGCUUCUCUAACUUAGCGGCGGACGGGUGAGUAACACGUGGGCAAUCUGCCCGUAAGACUGGGAUAACUCCGGGAAACCGGGGCUAAUACCGGGUAAUCCUGACUCUCUCCUGAGAGUCAGUUGAAAGAUGGUUUCGGCUAUCACUUACGGAUGAGCCCGCGGCGCAUUAGCUAGUUGGUAGGGUAAUGGCCUACCAAGGCGACGAUGCGUAGCCGACCUGAGAGGGUGAUCGGCCACACUGGGACUGAGACACGGCCCAGACUCCUACGGGAGGCAGCAGUAGGGAAUCUUCCACAAUGGACGAAAGUCUGAUGGAGCAACGCCGCGUGAGUGAAGAAGGUUUUCGGAUCGUAAAACUCUGUUGUAAGGGAAGAACACGUACGAGAGUAACUGCUCGUACCUUGACGGUACCUUAUUAGAAAGCCACGGCUAACUACGUG
RNAcentral lists this ribosomal RNA (496 nucleotides) under uncultured bacterium. RNAcentral's name for it is "bacterial SSU rRNA". It matches the Rfam family "Bacterial small subunit ribosomal RNA", at positions 28 to 507 of the family's 1533-position model. The record is from RNAcentral.